Molecule: ribosomal RNA, 510 nt
Filed under: uncultured bacterium
Lineage: Bacteria
Description: partial 16S ribosomal RNA
Rfam family: Bacterial small subunit ribosomal RNA
Source: RNAcentral
GACGAACGCUGGCGGCGUGCUUAACACAUGCAAGUCGAACGAAGAGCGCCGGACGCUUGCUUCUCUCAAUCUUAGUGGCGAACGGGCGAGUCACGCGUAAUCAACAUGCCCUUCAGAGGGGGACAACAGCUGGAAACGACUGCUAAUACCGCAUACGAUCUAAUCUCGGCAUCGAGGCUGGGUGAAAGGUGGCCUCUACAUGUAAGCUAUCCCUGAAGGAGGGGAUUGAGCCUGAUUGGCUAGGUGGGGGGGUAACGGCGGACCAAGGCGCGGAUCAGUAGCCGGUCUGAGAGGAGGAACUGCAACGUUGGGACGGGGACACGGCCCAGACUCCUGCGGGAGGCAGCAGGGGGGAAUCUUCCGCGAUGGACGCAGGGCUGACGGUGCAACGCCGCGUGAGUGAUGACGGCAUUCGGGUUGUGAGGCUGAGGUAGGCGGGAGGGAAGGCCUGCUUGCGAAUAGGGGGAGGGAUUGACGGUACCGGGAGAGAAAGCCACGGCUAACUACGUG